AACGAACGCUGGCGGCAGGCCUAACACAUGCAAGUCGAGCGCGCCCUUCGGGGUGAGCGGCGGACGGGUGAGUCACGCGUGGGAACGUGCAGUUUUCUACGGAAAUGUAUCGGGAAACUGGGAGUAAUACAGUAUAAGUUCUGCGGGGGAAAGAUUGAACGGAAAAGGAUAGGCACGCGAUGGUUUAGGUUGGUGGUGGGGUAAGGGCCUACCACGCGGUCGAUACUUAGCUGGUUUGAGAGGAUGAGCAGCGACACUGGGACUGAGACACGGCCCAGACUCCUACGGGAGGCAGCAGAGGGUAAUCUUAGACAAUGGGGGCAAUGCUGAUCGAGCCAUGCUUCGUGAGUGAUGAAGUCCUUAGGGAUGUAAAGCUCGUUAAGCUGGGAAUGUAAUGACGGUACCAGCAGAAGAAGCCCCGGCUAACUCCGUG
This 433-nucleotide ribosomal RNA is filed under the name uncultured bacterium. RNAcentral describes it as "partial 16S ribosomal RNA". It matches the Rfam family "Bacterial small subunit ribosomal RNA", at positions 29 to 507 of the family's 1533-position model. The record is from RNAcentral.